UACGGAGGGGGUUAGCGUUGUUCGGAAUUACUGGGCGUAAAGCGCGCGUAGGCGGAUUAGAAAGUUGGGGGUGAAAUCCCGGGGCUCAACCUCGGAACUGCCUCCAAAACUGCUAGUCUAGAGUUCGAGAGAGGUGAGUGGAAUUCCGAGUGUAGAGGUGAAAUUCGUAGAUAUUCGGAGGAACACCAGUGGCGGAGGCGGCUCACUGGCUCGAUACUGACGCUGAGGUGCGAAAGUGUGGGGAACAAACAGG
This 253-nucleotide ribosomal RNA is filed under the name uncultured bacterium. Its description in RNAcentral is "partial 16S ribosomal RNA". It matches the Rfam family "Bacterial small subunit ribosomal RNA", at positions 524 to 776 of the family's 1533-position model. The record is from RNAcentral.